Molecule: small RNA, 125 nt
Filed under: Marmota monax (woodchuck)
Lineage: Eukaryota; Metazoa; Chordata; Mammalia; Rodentia; Sciuridae
Source: RNAcentral
GCUGGGCAUGGUGGCACAUGCCUGUAAUCCCAUUGGCUCGGGAGGCUGAGGCAGGAGGAUUAUGAGUUCAAAGCCAGCCUCAGCGAAAGCAAGGCACUAAGCAACUCAGUGAGACCCUGUCUCUA